This 310-nucleotide ribosomal RNA is filed under the name uncultured bacterium. RNAcentral's name for it is "bacterial SSU rRNA". It matches the Rfam family "Bacterial small subunit ribosomal RNA", at positions 30 to 342 of the family's 1533-position model. The record is from RNAcentral.
AUUGAACGCUGGCGGCAUGCUUUACACAUGCAAGUCGAACGGCAGCGCGGGGGCAACCCUGGCGGCGAGUGGCGAACGGGUGAGUAAUGCAUCGGAACGUAUCCUGUAAUGGGGAUAACGUAGCGAAAGUUACGCUAAUACCGCAUACGCUCGAGAGAGGAAAGUGGGGAUCGCAAGACCUCACGUUAUAGGAGCGGCCGAUGUCCGAUUAGCUAGUUGGUGGGGUAAAGGCCUACCAAGGCGACGAUCGGUAGCUGGUCUGAGAGGAUGAUCAGCCACACUGGGACUGAGACACGGCCCAGACUCCUAC